This 253-nucleotide ribosomal RNA is filed under the name uncultured bacterium. RNAcentral's name for it is "partial 16S ribosomal RNA". It matches the Rfam family "Bacterial small subunit ribosomal RNA", at positions 524 to 776 of the family's 1533-position model. The record is from RNAcentral.
UACGUAGGGGGCAAGCGUUGUCCGGAUUUAUUGGGCGUAAAGAGCGUGUAGGCGGCUUUGCAAGUCCGUUGUGAAAACUCGAGGCUCAACCUCGAGACGCCGGUGGAAACUGCAAAGCUAGAGUCCGGAAGAGGAGAGUGGAAUUCCUGGUGUAGCGGUGAAAUGCGCAGAUAUCAGGAAGAACACCGGUGGCGAAGGCGGCCUGCUGGGACAUGGCUGACGCUGAGGCGCGACAGCGUGGGGAGCAAACAGG